This 434-nucleotide ribosomal RNA is filed under the name uncultured bacterium. RNAcentral describes it as "bacterial SSU rRNA". It matches the Rfam family "Bacterial small subunit ribosomal RNA", at positions 29 to 507 of the family's 1533-position model. The record is from RNAcentral.
AGCGAACGCUGGCGGCAGGCUUAACACAUGCAAGUCGAGCGGGCGUAGCAAUACGUCAGCGGCAGACGGGUGAGUAACGCGUGGGAACAUACCUUUGGUUCGGAACAACACAGGGAAACUUGUGCUAAUACCGGAUAAGCCCUUACGGGGAAAGAUUUAUCGCCGAAAGAUUGGCCCGCGUCUGAUUAGCUAGUUGGUGAGGUAAUGGCUCACCAAGGCGACGAUCAGUAGCUGGUCUGAGAGGAUGAUCAGCCACAUUGGGACUGAGACACGGCCCAAACUCCUACGGGAGGCAGCAGUGGGGAAUAUUGGACAAUGGGGGCAACCCUGAUCCAGCCAUGCCGCGUGAGUGAUGAAGGCCCUAGGGUUGUAAAGCUCUUUUGUGCGGGAAGAUAAUGACGGUACCGCAAGAAUAAGCCCCGGCUAACUUCGUG